Molecule: ribosomal RNA, 461 nt
Filed under: uncultured bacterium
Lineage: Bacteria
Description: partial 16S ribosomal RNA
Rfam family: Bacterial small subunit ribosomal RNA
Source: RNAcentral
CCUACGUGAGGCAGCAGUGAGGAAUAUUGGUCAAUGGGCGGGAGCCUGAACCAGCCAAGUCGCGUGAGGGAAGACGGUCCUAUGGAUUGUAAACCUCUUUAGGCGGGGAGCAAUGCCGGGCACGCGUGCCCGGAGGGAGAGUACCCGCAGAAUAAGCAUCGGCUAACUCCGUGCCAGCAGCGGCGGUAAUACGGAGGAUGCGAGCGUUAUCCGGAUUUAUUGGGUUUAAGGGGAGCGUAGGUGGAUUGUUAAGUCAGUUGUGAAAGUUUGCGGCUCAACCGUAAAAUUGCAGUUGAAACUGGCAGUCUUGAGUACAGUAGAGGUUGGCGGAAUUCGGGGUGUAGCGGUGAAAUGCUUAGAUAUCACGAAGAACUCCGGUGGCGAAGGCAGCUCACUGGACUUUAACUGACACUGAGGCUCGAAAGUGUGGGUAUCAAACAGGAUUAGAUACCCCAGUAGUC